GACGAACGCUGGCGGCGUGCCUAAUACAUGCAAGUCGAACGCCUUUUCUUUCACCGGAGCUUGCUCCACCGAAAGAAAAAGAGUGGCGAACGGGUGAGUAACACGUGGGUAACCUGCCCAUCAGAAGGGGAUAACACUUGGAAACAGGUGCUAAUACCGUAUAACACUAUUUUCCGCAUGGAAGAAAGUUGAAAGGCGCUUUUGCGUCACUGAUGGAUGGACCCGGGGUGCAUUAGCUAGUUGGUGAGGUAACGGCUCACCCAGGCAACGAUGCAUAGCCGACCCGGGAGGGUGGUCGGCCACGCUGGGACUGGGAGACGGCCCAGACUCCUACGGGAGGAAGCAGUAGGGAAUCUUCGGCAAGUGACGAAAGUCUUACCGAGCAAUGCCGCGUGAGUGAAGAAGUUUUUCGGAUCGUAAAACUCUGUUGUUAGAGAAGAACAAGGAUGAGAGUAAAACGUUCAUCCCUUGACGGUAUCUAACCAGAAAGCCACGGCUAACUACGUGCCAGCCGCCGCCGUAA
RNAcentral lists this ribosomal RNA (523 nucleotides) under uncultured bacterium. RNAcentral's name for it is "partial 16S ribosomal RNA". It matches the Rfam family "Bacterial small subunit ribosomal RNA", at positions 28 to 523 of the family's 1533-position model. The record is from RNAcentral.